Molecule: long non-coding RNA, 913 nt
Organism: Amborella trichopoda
Lineage: Eukaryota; Viridiplantae; Streptophyta; Magnoliopsida; Amborellales; Amborellaceae
Source: RefSeq, a predicted model, not a curated record
GGGGGAGACCAUGACACAUGUUCAUUUCCGAAUAUAGAAGUAACAUCGGAUUAGAUGUUCCACAUUAUCCAUCCGGGUACAGAUUCACUACCUUCAGGAUUUGAUAGGCUGAGAUAUCCAAGUCCGCUGCCUAGAAGUGACUCUCAACAAUAUUUUGGGGGAAGGUGUACAGGGGAAGAGAUGCUUUGGUUGGGAUUGGGAAUACUAUCAAGAUUCGUGUGGGUCCCUUCAAGGGCUACCGUAGUCGUGUAGUAGAUGUUGAUGGUUCAACUGUUCGAGUUGAACUGGAAUGACAGAUGAAGGCUCUUACUGGAUUCAUCUCAACGGUAUGGUUUGGGACACGAAACCCAAUGCUUCACAUGACUCCGAUGAGAGAUGCAACGGUAUGGUUUGGGACACAAAACCCAAUGUUCCACAUGACUCCGAUGAGAGAUGCAGGAUGGGCCACUUCAAUCCAUGAUGGAAUGCGAACUGCCAUGUGUGACCGUGCAUGGAAUCCUUGUGCACCAAUGAGCACAUAAAGUAUAAUGCGGGGUCCUUUAGGCUUUUAAAGUUAUGCAACCUUUCUCUUUCCCAUUUUGUGUAAAAGAGAACUAUUAUAAUGGAAGUUUACAGAAAAAAAAGACAGGCUUAGAACUUCGGAAAUUUUCCUCAGCGAACUUUCUAAAACUUAGACAACUUGAAAGAUCGAUGUUUUGUAUACCUAGUAUCUCAGUCUACUAAAUGUUUUAGUGUAGGGUCAUGUGCUAUUGAGCAAUAAGUAUACUCGUGGGUAAUUAAUGAGGUUGUUGUCAUGUUAAUCUUUUCUUCUUAUUUCCUUUGUCAAUAAAGAUAAGAAGAUAAACUUGCUGUAUUUGCAUUUAAAUUUGAGAGAGUCGUAUCCAUUACAAAGGCGAUAUUCCGAACUCGUAUG